UACGUAGGGUGCAAGCGUUAAUCGGAAUUACUGGGCGUAAAGCGUGCGCAGGCGGUUCUGUAAGCCAGAUGUGAAAUCCCCGGGCUCAACCUGGGAACUGCAUUUGUGACUGCACAGCUGGAGUGCGGCAGAGGGGGAUGGAAUUCCGCGUGUAGCAGUGAAAUGCGUAGAGGUGUGGAGGAACACCGAUGGCGAAGGCAGCCCCCUGGGUCAAGACUGACGCUCAUGCACGAAAGCGUGGGGAGCAAACAGG
RNAcentral lists this ribosomal RNA (253 nucleotides) under uncultured bacterium. RNAcentral describes it as "partial 16S ribosomal RNA". It matches the Rfam family "Bacterial small subunit ribosomal RNA", at positions 524 to 776 of the family's 1533-position model. The record is from RNAcentral.